AUAUAUCAACCUUCUUUGGUUGGAUGUGGGUUUGCUGGCCUCCCCGAGGUCAGCUCCCCUUAAAUGCAUUAGCGGACAACAUUUUGCCAACUGUUCAUUGGUGUGAUAAUUAUCUACGCUAUUGACGUGAAGCAAUGUUCAGCUUCUAACAGUCCAUUGACUUGGACAAAUUUACUUUUAUUA
RNAcentral lists this unclassified non-coding RNA (183 nucleotides) under uncultured Cortinarius. RNAcentral describes it as "sequence contains ITS2". The record is from RNAcentral. Lineage: Eukaryota; Fungi; Basidiomycota; Agaricomycetes; Agaricales; Cortinariaceae.